UGUGUGUGUGUGUGUGUGUGAGAGAGAGAGAGAGAGAGAGAGAGAGAGAGAUACAUACAUAAAGAAUUCAUGUCUGCCCCUUUGGAGUUGGCAUUGCCCCUUUGGAGUUGGCAUUGCCCCUUCAGGGGUGCAUGGUUAACACCCACACUUGUGUCACCUGCCACAUCCCAGGCUCUCUGCUCAUAUCUGGUCUAUCCUAGGGUGGAACCUCGUGGUUCUCCCUUCCUACCUCACGUUCAGCAAUAUGGUAGCCCAGCCUAGGCAACCAGCAAGUCUCUAGGAGAUGGAUGUCUUAGGGCAUAGGAAACUAGAUCACUUUGGCAUACAUCCUGCAAACAAUCACAAAAGACUGCUGGCCACCAGGGAAAGAGAACCGGCCUGUGGCAUCUUGGAGGACAGAAGGCAAAGGCCAUGGGGCCCCGAUAAGAGGAGGCACUUCCAAAGUAUUACGAGGGACUCAUGAAUGGGCAAGCCUGAGGAGACUUCACUGUCUCUGUCCCUUUCCGGGGCACACUGACUCUGUCUCCUCCAGGACUCCAGGCAUUCGAGGGAGGGGACCCAGCAACAAUUUGCAAGAAAUCUGGAACAAGGCUGACUGUGCCCUGGCGUCCUAGACCCCAAACCUUGUAUCGAUGCCUUGGUGGCUGGAAAUGGGACCGUUGUAUUCCCAGCAGAAGUGUGCUUUGUCCCAUUCUCGGCAGCUCAGAGCACACCUGACAUUCUAGGAUCUCCGUGUCAGAGAGAUGUGCAGUUCCCAGUACAUCCGGGCCCUCUAGAUAUCUCUGUCCCCUUACAACUUGAGGCCGUCCUUAGAUAAAACCUAACCGCAUCUCCCCCGUUUAUGGAUGAAUGGCAAGCAUCUUCAUAGUACUACUUUACAGCGGGCGAAGGUCUCAGAUCUAAGGGACCCCCCCCCACCACCACCACCAAGGGCACUCUCUGUUUUCCCAACAUCCACCACUGUCUAGCUUUAAGAUAAAGAUAUUAAGGAAGAAACUUUUGAUCUUUAAAACUAUCCCUGAUGACUAAGUAUGGUGGCACAGGCCUCUCCUAGGGAGACAGAGGCAGGUGGCUCUCUGUAAAUUCAAGGCUAGCCUGGUAUACAUAGUGAGUUCUGGGUCAGCGAGGUUAUGCGGUGAGACUCUCAAAAAAAAAGUUUUUUAUAUGGAAUAUCUUGGUUUUUUUCCCAAUAAUAAUUUUGUUGAUUCAGAAUAAUGUCUCUUUCAUGGACCCAAGGCACAAUAGAAAGACAGAAAUUCUGGGGGCAUGAAGGGGUUAGGGGAAAUCUCACCCAAGGGUCUGAAGCCUCUCACCAGCAGAGAUAUAAGAAUUCCACCACAGUCAACGUUUACUAUCGAGGCUGCUGGCCUAGAGUCAAUAUUCCGUUCACGUAUAGUUAAACCCUGAGUGUGUUUGACCCUGGGUACGGUCUUAUGCUUUCCCCAGACCUUGCCCCGAGACUCUCAAGCAAAAGUUAACCCUAUUAACAGCAGGAUAUCCCGCCCUCCUCCAUAGGUUAGCCUUUCACCUUAUCAACUGUAGUCCUGUCAUUAUCUUUUAGGGACCACCCAGUGAUAAGACUGUCAACCCAAGCCCCACCCAAAAUCCUGUGUGUGACUAUAUCAUAAGUCAUAGGGAGCGCUAUGCCUCUCCUUGAGGAGAUGCCCACAGUUGGGUAUGUCUAACAUCCUUCCGAGCGCCUCUGUUUCUCCCAGCCCGCAUGCUAAAGCCUGUAUGAAAAUAUCUUGAGUAAAAUCUGAAACCUCCAACUCUGCUUUAUAAACUGGCCUGUCCCGAAAUGCUUUGCGUCACUGAUGCCGCGAACCCUGGCUUAGCCUGAGUCGUGAUCCCUGAAGCUGGGGAGCUCCUCGGGCUAUGGAGGGUGACGGGCACUGUGCCUCCUUCAUCUGUGCCCCCCCCCCCAAAUACUGACAGAUUUAUCUCCUUUCUCAUGUGCAGAGGAAGUGCGUCUAGCCACAGGCUUCCACAAGCUCGCCUCUGCUUUCCGCAAGGCAGAGUGUGGAUUGGGGCAAUUCCAGGAAGGGCUGGAUCACAGCUGUGACGCUUCAGUAUAUUUAAAAUGUCAUAGUCUUGAUUCUCAGCUCUUUAAAAAAAAAGAAUAUUUUAGGUGAUGUUCCCGCAGAAUUUGAGAGAAAUGCUUACCCAAGCUGUGGUACUUGUACACUCUGAAAGGCAGUAAAGAAUAUCCAAAAUCUCCUACCUAUGCUGGGCUCCAUGGAAGUCUCUCCUCAUUAACUGUGUGGAUGGAGACUCACAGUCUCUGAUCCUCAGACCCCUCCUCUGUGGGCUUGGAUGACCCCUGCCCCGGAAGUGAAUGAGCUGUCAUGUCAUUCCAUGCCCCACACUACCAAACGCUUGGUUCCCAGCAGAUGUGAGGAACUGCUAACAUAUCGUUUCCCUUCUCUCUGGCUCACCUGGACACUUGAGUUCUGCAUCUUGCUCUUGACCAUCUCAACAAACAAGCGUCUCUUUAACACAGAAAAGACAGCGACGACGACAUUUAGUUUAGACUUGUACUGCCUUCUGGGCCCAAGACGGAUGGGCUCUUCUCUAUCAAACCCCUUUACCCAAUGCGUACGUAGACUGGGAUAUAAGUAAGAUACAUGAAGGAAGACUGGGAUAUAAGUAAGAUACAUGAAGGAAAGGAAAGCUACUCUGGUUAACGAGGGCUGGAGGUGCCGAGUCACGGGACCCAAGGACUCUGAGAAACCCUAGCUCGCUGCUCCCGAAUCCAUUUGAACGAAGGUCAAGUGGUGGAUAGCUGAGCCCUAGGAAGGGCAGAGUACGAGGACAACAAGAUCUACUCUCAGCCUUCUGUUCCUGAGGCUCCCCGUCCAUCCCCACCUGACAUAUCUGAUGACUUCUUAAAAACGUCGUUUAUUACAUUUGUUUAGUUAUUUAGUGUCUGUGGGAGCCGUGAACUCAUGUGGAGGACAGAGGACAACUUGAGAGAGCCCAUUCUCUUCUCCCUUCCACUUUGUGAGUCCUGGGAAUCGAACUUAUGCCGUUAACGCUUGAUAGCAAGCAGAUUUACCCAAGGAGCCAACCGGCCCAACGUCUACCAGUUUCUACUCUUUGGCCACGGUGGGACAGAGCCGAAGAAGAGCUAGACAGCACUGGGCCCAAGGCAAUCUUUGAAAACAGUGAGUUAGAAUAAGGAUGUCAGUGAUAGCCAAAGGCAUCAUGGGAUAUCACGGGGUGUCUCUCUUGCUUCACACCCGUGCUCCUGUUGAACUAAACCCUGUGGGCCAUGCCGUUUUUUUUUAUUCGCACCCCAAAGACAAGAGAUCUAAAUCAAUGGCAUGGGAGGGGUAGGGGGUUUCCAGCCUAGCUGAGACCACUCCUGAAAGCAGCGACCAAACCUCCAGGCUGGGAUUUGACAGGCUGGAGCCUGCGAGGGAGUGAAGUUUGCUCCCCUGGCCAAGGAAGCCACUGACAGCAGCUGUUCUCACACUUCCAGCCCCGCAGCAGCCCAGGGAAAGGGCUCCCAGCCUUCUCAGAGGGCAGGUCCCGAGUGUUUAAAAGCUUUCUAUUGAAAAUUCCCAUCUGAGCCAUUCACGGAAAGUAUCUGCUCUAUCUUGGCGGCAGCCCCAGCUGCAUUCACCAGCGAGAAAAGAAUGCUGGACAAAAGAGCUGCCAGCUUCCCAGGAGCA
Molecule: long non-coding RNA, 3674 nt
Organism: Mus musculus (house mouse)
Lineage: Eukaryota; Metazoa; Chordata; Mammalia; Rodentia; Muridae
Gene: Fhad1os2
Product: forkhead-associated phosphopeptide binding domain 1, opposite strand 2
Exons: 3
Source: RefSeq, a predicted model, not a curated record